AGUCCAGGGUUCCACUUCCAUUCAGCCAUAAAAGGGGAAUAGCAAAGCGAUAUCUUCGGUGGCAGCAAACGGGGAAUGACAGUGGAUCGAUGCGUGCGCAUAUGGGCGAUACUACAGCGUUUAUAUGGCGGCCAAUUCAUAUUGCUGGUGAAAGGGAAAGUCAAAGUAUCCCAUCCCAUGCCCAUCUUCCCAUCGCACCCUCCCACAUCCCCAGGAAACCAGUCUGAGUCAUCCGUUAAGAGGAACGGAGUGUGGUGGCGAUGCGUUUGGGGAAUUCGCUGAUUUGGUGGCGACAUCAACGGGCGGCAUCAGUGGCGGCGGCGGGCACACACAGUGCGUACUUCCUGGAAACCUAUCUCUGCCAGGCUGAGGUCCCACAAUUAUGAGCCGCCGUUAGAGCCGGGCUUGCUAACUCCAUGCCGCAGCCACCAGAUGUCAAUGAAGCAUGCAACUGCCACCGCCGCUUAUCGCGUUUGGAGCUUUGGCUUUCUCAAGAGAAAUGCCAGUGGUUUGGGCUCGAGGAUCGAGGAUCGCCGGUGUGCUGGAGAUCAAGUUGAUUGAAGUGCCUUUCGAAACGGAAUACAAACAUGCGGAGUAGAACGAAAGGCUCUGCCGUAGGAAGUGCAAACACACUGUCAAGGGAUGCUACGAAAAUAUUGUCUUUGGUCUCCCAAAAGGGUCCUUCCAUCGCCCUAAAACUGCAAAAUUGAACAACGUGGCCGGCACUUCAUUGGCCAGAAACACAGGCCAGAGCCAAAAACCAACACACUUGGUGCUCAACACGAGGAUGCAGCAUGAAUGUGGAGGACUGCAGCCAGAGAACGAGGAUCGAGAAUGGAUGGCGGAUGGAUGGGCCCCCAGCCAAGAUGUGCCAAGUCAGCGUGAUCUGCGCAAAGUGACGAGUUUUUAAUGAAUUUGUUUAACUCAGGUCAGGCCCUGGCACCUAGUACUAAGCCACAGACCCUGAGUCUGGCUGCAAAUCUGAUUCUGACCCGAAACAGUGGCUUCAUUUCUAUGGUAUAUUACAUUAAUGGCUUACAAUAUGAUAUAUAACAUCAUUUUGUCAAACUGGGCAAGUAGUAGUUUGAAUCCUUAUGUGAGAUUUAAUGGCAGUCAUGUGUAAAAACUAAUAUCCCUGGAACCACUGUGCCCUGCCGUCUGCGGAGAUGCUUGAACAGACCCAAUCCAAGUUGAUGGCGCGACAGUCGAGGUCGCAGGCACAGUCCGUGGCAAGUGGCGAUGAUGGCGAUGUGGAUAUGGAUGUGACUGCGACUGUGACUAUGACUCUGGAUGAUGCGGUUGAUGCCGAGCUCAAGUGCGGCUGGGACUAGGACCUGUGUGGAUGGAGGCGCUGACGGCCCGUGACGAUAUCCCAGGGCGAGGUGCCAGGAGAUAAAGCAGAUACAGCAGAUACUGGGUGCAGUGAGUGAGUUCCUGCCUCUUGAGGUCGUCCAAGUCGUCAUCGUCAGCGACGACGCCAGCGUCUGGGUCUAGGAUGAGUGGUCUGGAAUCUAGCAGAGCAAACAAAGGCAGCUAACACUCGAGUUCCAUCUAGUUUCCGAUUGUCCAGUCCAAUGGGAGCGAAAGGAGGCGGCGGAGUAUCAGCCCGUGUUUCAUGUCCUUCACAGUUCACUUUCGUUGACCACAAGGCGACGUCCGACGCUUUUUUUUACUUCAUUUUUCCGCUGGCUGCUCUCUGUUUGCUCCUCUUGUGUUCAACAAAAUGUUCCAAAUUGUUGCGCACUGCAAACAUCCGAGGAAUUUGCGCUUAACAAACUUCGCCAAAUGCUUUCCGUUUCAG
Drosophila melanogaster (fruit fly) is the source of this 1801-nucleotide non-coding RNA. Lineage: Eukaryota; Metazoa; Arthropoda; Insecta; Diptera; Drosophilidae. The record is from Ensembl.